RNAcentral lists this ribosomal RNA (292 nucleotides) under Chloropicon mariensis. RNAcentral describes it as "partial Eukaryotic large subunit ribosomal RNA". It matches the Rfam family "Eukaryotic large subunit ribosomal RNA", at positions 1196 to 1466 of the family's 3401-position model. The record is from RNAcentral. Lineage: Eukaryota; Viridiplantae; Chlorophyta; Chloropicophyceae; Chloropicales; Chloropicaceae.
UACACUCAUGAGAUCCCAUAAAAGGUGUGACCCGCUGAAGACAGCAAGGAUGUGGCCAUGGAAGUUGGAAUCAUCUAAGGAGUGUGUAACAACUCACUUGCCGAAGCGCGUCGCCCUGAAAAUGGAAGCAGCUCGAGUGUUGAACUUAUACUUUGCCGUUGGGGCAUAGUUUUCUUGUAAAACAAUAUGCAGGCCCCAACGUGUAGGAGGGUUGUGUCGGUGGCGUUGAAGGCUAUGAGGGAGUGAUCCUGGCUGGAGCCGCCGAUAGUACAGAUCUUGGUGGUAGUAGCAA